UGCAAUCCUCAUAAUACAUUUAUGGCAGAAUCUUAAAGAUUUUGAUACAACAGUUCAUCAUUAAACAAUACCAUCAUCCAAUGCAACCUAUGAAAAAAGAAGGCUAAUAGAUUAAAAUGUCUUGAGGAAGGCCACUUUCUAAUCCACUUCUCGACUUGAAUGAGGAGAAAUAUUAUUAUACCCCCAUCCGUAUCAGGAUACAUGACAAGCAAGAAAGACACUCAAAUAGUAAGCCAACUACCGUCAAAUCGAGAAGUCACCAACAAGCCUCUCUUUCGGAACGACCAUCCGGACACAUACGAGUCAUCCGCCAUUCGAGUCCCUAAGCUUUCAUUGAGAAUGUGAUAUUGUUGGUCACCAAAUACCACGUGGGUUCAAUUGCUCUUUACCAUCAAGUCAGAAUGAAUGACAGGAUUUGUUCCAUCACAAACAUUAUUGUCCUAUCGAAGACAUCCACCCCAUGCAUUCCACAAUGAUAGUUUAAUUGCAAGUUCAACACAUUAACAUCAUCCUACACGAGAUCCUCGCCUAUAAAUACCGUUAGGAACAAUGAAGAAAGGAUCGACACUCCAAGAAUACCAAGACUAUAGUCUAUUAACUUACCUUCAGCUCUCAAUCUUAACACUCUCCUCACCUUCGUUCUUUGUAACCUUCAUCUCUUCAUCCUGAUUAGGUG
RNAcentral lists this long non-coding RNA (676 nucleotides) under Gossypium raimondii (Peruvian cotton). RNAcentral describes it as "long non-coding RNA (GRAI_LNC007787)". The record is from RNAcentral. Lineage: Eukaryota; Viridiplantae; Streptophyta; Magnoliopsida; Malvales; Malvaceae.